This 95-nucleotide microRNA precursor is filed under the name Helianthus annuus (common sunflower). RNAcentral describes it as "microRNA mir-233". The record is from RNAcentral. Lineage: Eukaryota; Viridiplantae; Streptophyta; Magnoliopsida; Asterales; Asteraceae.
CUCCAACGUCUUUUUUUCUAAUCCUUUUGCCCCAAAACACUAACACCAUCCAUUUAUUUUUAUGGGCCAAAAGGGUUAGAAAAAAUGACGUUGGG